UGAGUUGAGAAUCAAGUUAAGAUGCCUUUAUAGGCAAGUAUUUAGGGCAUAUUUAGGGAUUUUAUUUUUCUCUUUUAGUCAUUUUCUAAUUUCUGUUUUUGCUACUUAGUCCUUUAUUUUUUUUCUUGUUCCCCAAGUUCUACUACCCAAAUCUUGAAAUUCAAAACCAAACCCCACCCUAGAAGUUUCUCUUUCUGUUAUACUAA
RNAcentral lists this long non-coding RNA (206 nucleotides) under Nicotiana benthamiana. RNAcentral's name for it is "long non-coding RNA (NBEN_LNC000373)". The record is from RNAcentral. Lineage: Eukaryota; Viridiplantae; Streptophyta; Magnoliopsida; Solanales; Solanaceae.